This 74-nucleotide transfer RNA is filed under the name Stegodyphus dumicola. Its description in RNAcentral is "tRNA-Thr". It matches the Rfam family "tRNA". From Rfam's summary of the family: Transfer RNA (tRNA) molecules are approximately 80 nucleotides in length. Their secondary structure includes four short double-helical elements and three loops (D, anti-codon, and T loops). The record is from RNAcentral. Lineage: Eukaryota; Metazoa; Arthropoda; Arachnida; Araneae; Eresidae.
GCCUUCGUGGUGUAGCGGUUCUGCACACUGGGCUAGUACUCCAGAGGUCCGUGGUUCGAUUCCCGGCGAAGGCG